This is a non-coding RNA of Aedes aegypti (yellow fever mosquito), 48 nucleotides long. Lineage: Eukaryota; Metazoa; Arthropoda; Insecta; Diptera; Culicidae. The record is from Rfam.
CAAACGGCCAGCUUUUCAGGGCCACCGAAUUUUUCAAAAAGAGUUAUU